Molecule: ribosomal RNA, 450 nt
Filed under: Thermothielavioides terrestris
Lineage: Eukaryota; Fungi; Ascomycota; Sordariomycetes; Sordariales; Chaetomiaceae
Description: partial large subunit ribosomal RNA
Rfam family: Eukaryotic large subunit ribosomal RNA
Source: RNAcentral
CCCCUGGAACGGGGCGCCACAGAGGGUGAGAGCCCCGUAUAGUUGGACGCCUAGCCUGUGUAAAGCUCCUUCGACGAAUCCAGUAGUUUGGGAAUGCUGCUCAAAAUGGGAGGUAAAUUUCUUCUAAAGCUAAAUACCGGCCAGAGACCGAUAGCGCACAAGUAGAGUGAUCGAAAGAUGAAAAGCACUUUGAAAAGAGGGUUAAACAGCACGUGAAAUUGUUGAAAGGGAAGCGCUUGUGACCAGACUCGCGCCGGGCUGAUCAUCCGGUGUUCUCACCGGUGCACUCUGCCCGGCUCGGGCCAGCAUCGGUUCCUGCGGGGGGAUAAAGGCUCCGGGAACGUAACUCCUCCGGGAGUGUUAUAGCCCGGGGCGCAAUGCCCCCGCGGGGACCGAGGACCGCGCUCUGCAAGGAUGCUGGCGUAAUGGUCACCAGCCACCCCUCUUGAA